Molecule: long non-coding RNA, 354 nt
Organism: Neopsephotus bourkii (Bourke's parrot)
Lineage: Eukaryota; Metazoa; Chordata; Aves; Psittaciformes; Psittacidae
Exons: 2
Source: RefSeq, a predicted model, not a curated record
UUUUUAUCACCAAAUGUAUUGUUUCUGACCACUGAAGAACUAUGUCACCCCUGUGGCUCCAUCAGGUGGGAAAGUGGAUCCUGGAUGAAAGUCCUGCCCAAGACAAGACUCCAAGCUGAAGACUCCAAUUAUCUAUAAAUCACUUGUAUUUCCUGCAGAGAAAAAGCAGGAAAGAGAGAGACAGGAAAACAGAGACAGAGGAUUCGGCAAAGUGAAAUAUUCGAUACCUGUCCUAAACCAAAUUUCUCUCAAAAGCAACCAGGAGUUAUUUCUGAGAUAUCUCAAAACCAAGCUCAGAGGAAUCUUGCUGCUGUUGUUUUUGGCUUAAUAUUGAAAUAAAAUAACUUUCUUUUA